Molecule: ribosomal RNA, 1561 nt
Filed under: uncultured bacterium
Lineage: Bacteria
Description: bacterial SSU rRNA
Rfam family: Bacterial small subunit ribosomal RNA
Source: RNAcentral
AGAGUUUGAUUCUGGCUCAGAACGAACGCUGGCGGCGUGGAUUAGGCAUGCAAGUCGAACGAGAUCCAGGGCGUCCAAGUAGCAAUAUGAGGAUGUCCUGGUGACAGUGGCGAAAGGGUGAGUAACGCGUGGGUAAUCUGCCCUCAAGUUGGGGAUAGCUCUGCGAAAGCGGAAUUAAUACCGAAUGUGGUCGUGGCGCGCAUGUGCCACUAUCUGAAGCCGGGGACCGCAAGGCCUGGCGCUUGAGGAUGAGCCCAUGUACUAUCAGCUAGUUGGUGAGGUGACGGCUCACCAAGGCUAUGACGGUUAGCUGGUCUGAGAGGAUGGUCAGCCACACUGGGACUGAGACACUGCCCAGACUCCUACGGGAGGCUGCAGUCGAGGAUCAUUCGCAAUGCGCGAAAGCGUGACGGUGCGACGCCGCGUGCAGGAUGAAGGCCUUCGGGUCGUAAACUGCUGUCAUGAGGGAGCAACGAAUCUGCCGCUAACACCGGCAGGAAGUGAUAGUACCUCAAGAGGAAGCCACGGCUAACUCUGUGCCAGCAGCCGCGGUAAUACAGAGGCGGCGAGCGUUGUUCGGAUUUACUGGGCGUAAAGGGUGUGUAGGCGGUUCUGCAUGUCGGAUGUGAAAUCUAACAGCUUAACUGUGGAAUGGCAUUCGAAACUGCAGGACUGGAGUACAGGAGAGGAAAGCGGAAUUAUCGGUGUAGCGGUGAAAUGCGUAGAGAUCGAGAAGAACACCGGUGGCGAAGGCGGCUUUCUGGACUGAUACUGACGCUGAGGCACGAAAGCUGGGGGAGCAAACAGGAUUAGAUACCCUGGUAGUCCCAGCCCUAAACGGUGUGCACUUGGUGUGGGAGGUUUGACCCUUUCCGCGCCGGAGCUAACGCGUUUAAUGCACCGCCUGGGGAGUACGGUCGCAAGAUUAAAACUCAAAGCAAUUGACGGGGGCCCGCACAAGCGGUGGAGCAUGUGGCUCAAUUCGAUGCAACGCGAAGAACCUUACCUGGGCUUGACAUGUGACUGCACGCCCCGUGAAAGCGGGGAAGCCUUCGAGGGUGUCACACAGGUGCUGCAUGGCUGUCGUCAGCUCGUGCCGUGAGGUGUUAGGUUAAGUCCUGCAACGAGCGCAACCCUUGUGAUUAGUUGCCAAGUUCGGUGAUGAAUCGGACGGCACUCUAAUCAGACUGCCCGUGAAAAGCGGGAGGAAGGUGGGGAUGACGUCAAGUCAGUAUGGUCCUUAUGUCCAGGGCCGCACACGUGCUACAAUGAACGGUACAGAAGGAAGCAAAGCCGCGAGGUGGAGCAAAUCCCCAAAACCGUUCUCAGUUCAGAUUGAAGUCUGCAACUCGACUUCAUGAAGCUGGAAUCGCUAGUAAUGGCGCAUCAGCUACGGCGCCGUGAAUACGUUCCCGGGCCUUGUACACACCGCCCGUCACAUCAUGAAAGUCGACUGCACCCGAAGUCGCUGAUCCAACCCGCAAGGGGGGUAGGUUCCGAAGGUGUGGUUGAUGAUUGGGAUGAAGUCGUAACAAGGUAACCAAGGGCGAAUUCCAGCACA